This 1408-nucleotide long non-coding RNA is filed under the name Homo sapiens (human). Its description in RNAcentral is "non-protein coding lnc-SESN3-8:4". Lineage: Eukaryota; Metazoa; Chordata; Mammalia; Primates; Hominidae. The record is from RNAcentral.
AGACGCGAGGGCAAAGGCCCAGGAGGACUGUGGGGCUCUCGGAAGUAUCCGAUCACCUUGCGAGGAGUCCGCCGGCUGUCCGAGCCUGAUGUCACUGCAACUUCGAUUCCUCCGACGCCCCUACUCUUACUUCCCAGUCUUCAGGCAACUUCUCCGCUUCGGCCUCCCCUAGGCCUUGGCCCCAGAGAGGGGACGCACUCCACAGGUGGAUUCGCACGUGUGGGCCCUCGGCAGCACUUUCUCGUGCAAAUUAACAGGAACCCGAGCCCUGGGAAGGGACAUCAAGGCGCUCCCGAGACUCCGGAGACGGCCAACAGCCCCAAAAGAGAGUACUCGGCUAUCCAGCCGCCCUUAUCCAAGCGGAGAAUCUCUCUCCACCUCCGCCCUCCCGGGACUCAAAGUUGUUUGUGGAGCCUCCAGGUUUCCUUGUAGAUGGGCACGAUAUGCACUGUGUGCGCGCGCGCGCACACACACACACACACACACACACACACACACACACACGUAUAUGUAUUUUUCCAGUGGCCACUGCAGGAUUGCCAGCUUUCGGAAAUGAGCAUCCGCUCUCUCUCUCGGGACUGGGCGUGGGGUUCACCGAAAGGAGAGGAAGAGACCUUGCGUUUGCGCUGGGCCUGCUCGAUGCCAGGCCAUUCUAGGCUUCUGUCUAUCCUGGUUUCUGGUCUGUGCGUUGUGGGUAGCAGCAUUGGCGUAUUACGCCGGAGGGAGCAGGCUGAGCGAGGCUCCAGAAGGUGCGCAAUAGCCGGAGAGGAAAGGGCGAUGCUGUCACCUAGCCCCCUCCCUGAGACUCCAUUCAGCCCAGAAAAAGGAGCUGCUUUCUCCCCCAUCUACCCUAGGAGAAAAUAAACGGUCGCUGGCAUUUUCCUGCGUCUUUUAAUUUUGCCAGAACUGUUUUGGGUUGGCUAUUGUGGGCCAGGAUGGAGGCCUUCUCCUCCCGGGAGCAAACCUGCCCACGCCCAGGCCGGCAGUGGAGUCAGCCUUGCCCCAGCCUGCCCUCCAGGGAAACAAUGCCCCUUUGUCCCUCGCCCUCCCGGGGCUGAUACAGCCCCUCCCCUUAGCUUAGGGCUCCCUCCCGUUAGAGCAUUCCAAUGAUUGCCACAAGUCACACUUUUCUUUGAGGUCUCUGCCUGGGAAGAAAACAAAGCAGCCCUCCUAAUCACACGGAGGGAGUGGAACUUUUCCUGCCCUCUGACUAUGUGCCAGCCUUGGCUCCUCCCUGAAGCCCUGUCUAGAGGGCUUAUUAGGUCACUUAUGUUUUGUACCUCGUGUGAAGUCCCACAAUCAGUAGAUUAUAGAGGGGAGCACAAACCCAGCAGUGUCUGACAUAGAGAAAUUACACAUACAUACAUACACACAUACAUACAUACAUACACACACACACAUACACACA